AUUGAACGCUGGCGGCAUGCCUUACACAUGCAAGUCGAACGGUAACGGGCCUUCGGGUGCCGCCGAGUGGCGCACGGGUGAGUAAUACAUCGGAACGUGCCCGAUCUUGGGGGGUAACGAGGCGAAAGCUUUGCUAAUACCGCAUACGAUCUACGGAUGAAAGCAGGGGACCGCAAGGCCUUGCGCGGACGGAGCGGCCGAUGGCGGAUUAGGUAGUUGGUGGGAUAAAAGCUUACCAAGCCGACGAUCUGUAGCUGGUCUGAGAGGAUGAUCAGCCACACUGGGACUGAGACACGGCCCAGACUCCUACGGGAGGCAGCAGUGGGGAAUUUUGGACAAUGGGCGCAAGCCUGAUCCAGCCAUGCCGCGUGCAGGAUGAAGGCCUUCGGGUUGUAAACUGCUUUUGUACGGAAAGAAAAGCCUUCUGUUAAUACAGGAGGGUCAUGACGGUACCGUAAGAAUAAGCACCGGCUAACUACGUG
This 482-nucleotide ribosomal RNA is filed under the name uncultured bacterium. Its description in RNAcentral is "partial 16S ribosomal RNA". It matches the Rfam family "Bacterial small subunit ribosomal RNA", at positions 30 to 507 of the family's 1533-position model. The record is from RNAcentral.